UUUCUAGUCCUCUUAAAGUCAGGAUACCAUCAAGUAAGGGGAAAAAGCGGAGAUAUUCAUAAGACCGCAUUUCGUACUCACGAGGGUCAUUACGAAUACCUUGUAAUGCGCUUUGGGUUGAUGAAUGCUCCUUCAACCUUUCAAGCUUUUAUGAAUGAUAUCUUUAAAAGUCUCCUGAGAAAAUAUGUGUUGGUAUUUUUCAAUGAUAUCCUUGUCUAUAGCCCAUGUUGGGAAGAUCACAUUACUCACUUAGCUACUGUACUGAGUAUUUUGCAGCAACAAGAGCUGGUGGCAAACAGAAAGAAAUGCUCUUUUGCUAAAACUAAUGUUGAGUAUCUUGGGCAAAUCAUUUCCAGGGAAGGAGUGGCAAUGGAUCCGGCUAAGGUAGAGAGUGUCCUACAAUGG
Non-coding RNA from Vicia faba (fava bean), 405 nucleotides. Lineage: Eukaryota; Viridiplantae; Streptophyta; Magnoliopsida; Fabales; Fabaceae. The record is from the annotation of a GenBank genome assembly.